UUUGUGUUUGUCUGGAUUGUUUUUACUAAUGCUUCUUGUUUCUGUAUUAUCCCCUUUGCUGCUGUACACUGCAAAUUUCCUCACUGUGGGACUAAUAAAGGAAUAUCUUAUCUUA
This is a long non-coding RNA of Sebastes umbrosus (honeycomb rockfish), 115 nucleotides long. RefSeq lists it as uncharacterized. The transcript has 3 exons. The record is from RefSeq and is a predicted model, not a curated record. Lineage: Eukaryota; Metazoa; Chordata; Actinopteri; Perciformes; Sebastidae.